This is a long non-coding RNA of Capra hircus (goat), 561 nucleotides long. RefSeq lists it as uncharacterized. The record is from RefSeq and is a predicted model, not a curated record. Lineage: Eukaryota; Metazoa; Chordata; Mammalia; Artiodactyla; Bovidae. The transcript is spliced from 3 exons.
CUUAACCACCUUUUUCCUAGGGCCUGUGCACUUUGGAUUUGUUGAGGAAAAAGGAAUAAACAGAGAAGAUGACAGAAGUCGUUUUGCAAAGCAGUCACAAAGGCAGUGGUUGCAAAGGAAAGAGCAAAGAGUCAGGAAUCAGGAGACCAGAGUUCUGUUCGCACUCCUAGGACAGCUCCUCGUAUCUAGAGGUGGGAUCAGUGAAUAUUUGCUGAAGGAAAGAAAGCCUUGAGACAACGCCUCUGCUUCUCCUUGAAAUGGACCCUCAAGAAGAGCAGCCUAAUCCUGUGGCAAUCACAACGCUGGCCAGCAGGGGGUGUUACCUGGGAGAGAAAGUGUUUCCGUGGGAUCAGGACUGCUUUAGGGUCUCUCCACUCCGCUAGUGGAGGAGGCUUUCUGUUCCAGUUGUUAGCUUUCUUACUGAGGAAUUUAAUUCCAUUCGGUUGUAAUCGCACUGUAAACUGCUUACCUUGAAAGUAUGUGAUUUGAGAGUGGAUUUUAUGUGUGAGGGGAAUAGGCAAAAACAUCAACUUCUUUUUACAUUCCUAAAAUUGUUUAAAA